GACGAACGCUGGCGGCGUGCUUAACACAUGCAAGUCGAACGGAAAGGCCCUGCUUUUGUGGGGUGCUCGAGUGGCGAACGGGUGAGUAACACGUGAGUAACCUGCCCUUGACUUUGGGAUAACUUCAGGAAACUGGGGCUAAUACCGGAUAGGAGCUCCUGCUGCAUGGUGGGGGUUGGAAAGUUUCGGCGGUUGGGGAUGGACUCGCGGCUUAUCAGCUUGCUGGUGGGGUAGUGGCUUACCAAGGCUUUGACGGGUAGCCGGCCUGAGAGGGUGACCGGCCACAUUGGGACUGAGAUACGGCCCAGACUCCUACGGGAGGCAGCAGUGGGGAAUAUUGCACAAUGGGCGGAAGCCUGAUGCAGCAACGCCGCGUGCGGGAUGACGGCCUUCGGGUUGUAAACCGCUUUCGCCUGUGACGAAGCGUGAGUGACGGUAAUGGGUAAAGAGGCACCGGCUAACUACGUG
This 468-nucleotide ribosomal RNA is filed under the name uncultured bacterium. Its description in RNAcentral is "partial 16S ribosomal RNA". It matches the Rfam family "Bacterial small subunit ribosomal RNA", at positions 28 to 507 of the family's 1533-position model. The record is from RNAcentral.